GAUGAACGCUGGCGGCGUGCCUAAUACAUGCAAGUCGAGCGAACAGACGAGGAGCUUGCUCCUCUGACGUUAGCGGCGGACGGGUGAGUAACACGUGGAUAACCUACCUAUAAGACUGGGAUAACUUCGGGAAACCGGAGCUAAUACCGGAUAAUAUAUUGAACCGCAUGGUUCAAUAGUGAAAGACGGUUCUGCUGUCACUUAUAGAUGGAUCCGCGCCGCAUUAGCUAGUUGGUAAGGUAACGGCUUACCAAGGCGACGAUGCGUAGCCGACCUGAGAGGGUGAUCGGCCACACUGGAACUGAGACACGGUCCAGACUCCUACGGGAGGCAGCAGUGGGGAAUCUUCCGCAAUGGGCGAAAGCCUGACGGAGCAACGCCGCGUGAGUGAUGAAGGUCUUCGGAUCGUAAAACUCUGUUAUUAGGGAAGAACAAAUGUGUAAGUAACUAUGCACGUCUUGACGGUACCUAAUCAGAAAGCCACGGCUAACUACGUG
This 497-nucleotide ribosomal RNA is filed under the name uncultured bacterium. RNAcentral describes it as "partial 16S ribosomal RNA". It matches the Rfam family "Bacterial small subunit ribosomal RNA", at positions 28 to 507 of the family's 1533-position model. The record is from RNAcentral.